Molecule: long non-coding RNA, 23112 nt
Filed under: Homo sapiens (human)
Lineage: Eukaryota; Metazoa; Chordata; Mammalia; Primates; Hominidae
Description: HSALNT0341567
Source: RNAcentral
AUUUCCUUCUUGCUGCAUCAGGAUGAUGAGAAUUGAAGUCUGGUUUAACCCUGUCCUUAACCUUCCCUGGGGCCCUGGAUGGGUAGUUCUGUAGCUCCCGGCCUCUUGCUGACCACUGGACCAAAAUACACAGAAGAAUCCUAUACAAGGUAAGCAUUUGACGGAUACCUCUUAGGUGGCCUCAGCUUUAGGAAGCUUUAUUGGAUCCAAAAAUAGCUUUAUUUCCCCAGGCCAGCCUCCCCACAUACCUUGCCUCCAGCUUAGUGUCACAGUGCCUGUAUCUCUGUGCGAAGAGUGAUAUUGGGGUGUUUGCAGGCUGGACUCAGAGCUGAAAGUCUCCCUGCCAAGUAGUGAGCAUUUCACUAUUCACGGAGGUGCCCCAGGGGCCAGCAGAGAGAUUUCCAGAACAGGAAACACCCCCGCAGAAGUGGAGAUCAACAGUAACAACAAUGUAUAUUUCUAAACAGAACAGUGACUCAUAUUAAACAUCUGUUUCACAAUAGGGCCUUAUAUGCAAAACAACCCUAAGUAUAGAAGGAGCCAAGAAACCAAAGAAUGAGGCAGACAAAUCCAGUUUGUCAUCACGGGGUGUUUCACUGGGGGAACUAUGGACAGAAGCAUCGUCUUGGAUGGCCACAAGGCAGGUAGAUCUCCAUGCUGUUACAUCCCAGACUCAGGAACUAUAUACCAUAAGGAAAGAAUGCACAUGCUCCAGAAGGAAUGUGUAGGAAUUUGCUUAAGGGCAGGAUUUACAGUAAGUAGGAGUUCAUCAAGGUUGAUUUGAUCCAAGUGUUACCAGAAAGGGGUCCCGAUCCAGACCCCAACAGAGGGUUCUUGGAUCUCGCGCCAGAAAGAAUUCAGGGCAAGUUCAUAAAGUAAAAGCAAGUUUAUUAGGAAAGUAACGUGGUGAAGGACACAGCUACUCCACAGACAGGUUAGGAAGAGGAGGAAUGUGUCCACCCUGGAGACAAUACUUGUUUAUAUAUAGCAUAAGAAAAGAUUAUGGGGAGAUGUGUUCUGCUACAAGGGUUUGUGAUAAAGGAUUAAUUUUCUUACUGUAUUUCGCAAGAAUCGAAAUUAUCGUAGGAACGCUUCUGUUGUCAAGAUAUCGGGAUAUCAGGACACUCCUAAGUCUGGGUCUGUUUAGUAAACAUUGUCAAUCUGUUCCCUUAACUGUAAACAUCUGGAGGCUAGGAAUACCUCACUUUCUGGGAGUGCGGCCCAGCAAGCCCCAGCCUCAUUUUUCUUAGCCCUCACUCAAGAUGGAGUCACUCUGGUUCUAACGCCUCUGGCAUAAGGGCAGGAUUAAUGGUAAGUAUGCGCUUUUAUAUAAGGAAUGAUAGAUAAACUGGAAAUCUUAGAGGCAUUCUUGGAACCAGGGUUAAUCAGAAGCCUAGCUUCCAAGAUGGAGUUAUUUCAGCCUCCACAACAUCUCUUCAGAUAGAUGGGACUUCACAGAUUUCCCCAAGAAUCACGGAUAGAAUUGGUUUGACAAGUGUGUGAUUACAUAGACCACUUUAUGGCUCCCAUAGAGGCUGGCAUGAUGGUUUACGCCUACAACCCCAGCACUUUGGGAGGCUGAGGCAGGAGGAUUGAUUGAACCCAGGAGUUCGAGACCAGCCUGGGCAACAUAGGAGACCCUGUCUUUAUUUUGUUUGUUUGUUUGUUUUGUGUUUUUUGAGACAAUCUCACUCUCACUGCCAGACUGGAGUGCAGUGGCACAAUCAGCUCAUUGCAGCCUCGACCUCCUGGUCUCAAGCAAUCGUCCUACCUCAGCCUCCUGAGUGGUGGGGACUACAGGUGCUUAUCACCACACAUGGCUAAUUUAAAAAAAGAAAAUUUGGAGCUGGGUUUGGUGGCUCACUCCCGUAAUCCCAAUACUUUGGGAGGCAGGCUAAGGCAGGUGGAUCACCUGAGGUCGGAAGUUCAAGACCAGCCUGGCCAACAUGGUGAAACCCCAUCUCUACUGAAAAUACAAAAAUUAGCUGGGCAUGGUGCUGUGCACCUGUAAUCCCAGCUUCUCAGAAAGCUGAGGCAGGAGAAUCACUUGAACCCGGAAGGUGGAGGUCGCAGUGAGCCGAGAUCAUGCCAUUGCACUCCAGCCUCAGUGACAGAGUGAGACUCUGUAUCAAAAAAAAAAAACAGAAAAAAAAAACUGUAGACAGGGUUUUACCAUGUUGCCCAAGCUGCUCUCAAAGUCUUGAGCUCAAGCAAUUCACCCGUCUCAGCUUCCCAAAGUGCUGGGAUUACAAGUAUGUGCCACUGUGCCUGACCUAAACAAAAGUUUAUAUAUAUGUAUAUAUACACACACACAUAUAUAUGUGUGUGUAUAUAUAUGUAUGUGUGUGUCUAUAUAUAUAUAUAUAUAUGUAUGUAUGUAUCUCAAAGAAAUAUAUUUGUGGGUAAAAUACUUUGAUUUCUUUCAGGGCCUGCUAUCUGUCAUGCUGGUAUCUCAUUGCUAAAGAGUGUGUUUUGUCCAUCUUAAGGUUUCUCUUUUCAUGUUCAUGCUUGUUGGCUAUACCUGAAUUUCAAAGGGAGGUGGGUAUAAUGAGGCAUGUCCAAACACCCCUUCCCAUGAUGGCCUGUACUAGUGUUUCAGGUUAACUUUGGAAUGCCCUUGGCUGAAAGAGGAGUCCAUUCUGUUGAUGGGGGUGCUUAGAAUUUUAUUUUUGGUUUGCACAGGAACUAUUCACACUUGACAGCUCUUCAGAUAUUUUCAAACAUGUUAGUCCCUGACUUUGGUUUUUUUUGUUCGUUUGGUUUGUUUGUUUUUUUGAGACAGAGUUUUGCUCUUGUUGCCCAGGCUAGAGUGUAGUGGCGUGAUCUUGGCUCACUACAACCUCCGCCUCCCAGGCUCAAGCGAUUCUCCUGCCUCAGCCUCCUGAGUAGCUGGAACUACAGGCACCCACCACCACGCCGGGCUAAUUUUGUUUGUAUUUUUAGUAGAGAUGGGGUUGGCCAGGCUGGUCUUGAACUCCUGAUCUCAGGUGAUCCACCCACCUCGGCCUCCCAAAGUGCUGGGAUUAGAGGCAUGAGCCACCAUGCCCAGCCAGUCCCUGACUCUUAUAUUCUGCAGGCGUUCAGCCAUUCCUCAUGUCACCUCUUUUCAAGUCCCCAUCUCACCCAUCUUAGCUCCUCCAUGAACUUGAUCUACCUAUUUGGUGGUUUUCAACCCCGGUAGCACAAUGGAAUCACUCAGGGAGCUUUGACAAAUGUAGAUGCCUGAGAAAGCUUUAGGAGACUUCAUGAUUUUAUUAAAUACAAAGUGAAAAAUGGUAAUAUAACAGUGGAAAAUCUCAGAAGACACCACUUGAACCAAAUGGUCAAGGUGAACAUCUCCAGCAAUGAGAUAUAAUGCCAUCAUGAACCCUCUAAUGUGAUACACUAAAAAGGACACAGCUUGGAGGCUGAAUACAGUAGCUCACACCUGUAAUCCCAGCACUUUAGGAGGCUGAGGCAGGAGGAUCACUUGAGCUCAGGAGUUUGAGAUCAGCCUGGGCAACGUAAUGAGACCCUGUGUUUACAAAAAUAUAAAAAUUAGCUGGGCACGAUGAUGCAUGCCUGUAAUUCCAGCUACUCGGGAGGCUGAGGUGGGAAGAUCACUUAAGCCCAGGAGGUCGAGGCUGCAGUGAGCUAUGAUUGCACCACUGUACUCCAGGCUGGGUGACAGAGUGAGACCCUGUCUCAAAAAAUAAAUAAAAAGGACACAACUGUACUAUUACAGUCUCGUUGAGAAAAAUGCAUAGCCUCAAUCUAACCACAAGAGAAUAUCAGACAAACCCAAAUUGAUGGGCAUUCUACAAACUAACUGUCCAGUAGUCUUCAAAAGUGUCAAGACUGUGAAAGGGCAGGAAUGUCUCAGUGCAGGCAGGAAUGCCUCCGUGCCUCCAGCUGAGUAACGCUGACAGAUGGCUGUAGACCUGGACAACAUCUUGGCUACAACCUUAAGAGAAACCUUAAAUCCAAACCAUGUACCUAAGUCAUUUCUGAAUCCCUGACCAAAAAAAGUAUGUAAAAUAAUCAAUGUUUAUUAUUGGUGUUUUUUUUUCUUUGGAAACAGGGUCUCACUCUGUCACCCAGACUGGAGUGCAGUGGUGCAAUCUUGGCUCACAGCAGCCUCAACAUCCCAGGCUCAAGUGAUCCUCCUACCUCAGCCUCCCUAGUAGCUGGGACUACAGAUGGAGUCUCACUCUGUGGCCCAGGCUGGAGUGCAGCGGCGUGAACUCAGCUCACUGCAACCUCUACCUCCCAGGUUCAAGCGAUUCUCGUGCCUCAGCCUCCUGAGUAGCUGGGAUUAUAGGGGCAUGCCAGAACCCCCAGCUAAUUUUUGUAUUUUUAGUAGAGAUGGAGUUUCACCAUGUUGUCCAGUCUGGUCUUGAACUCCUGACCUCGAGUGAUCCACCCACCUCAGCCUCCCAAAGUGCUGGGAUUACAGGCAUGAGCCACUGCACCCAGCCUCUGAGCACUGUUUUUAAUACAUUUUACAAAUUUUAGUAUAUUUUUAAGCAUCUGGAAGUAUUUUAUAAUUGCUUUUUUUAUGUGUGUGUGGAGACAGUGUCUCACUAUGUUGCCCAGGCUGGUCUCAAACUCCUGGGCUCAAACAAUCCUCCCACCUUGGCCUCCGAAAGUGCUGGUAAAAGGUGUGAGCCACCGCGCCCAGCUCUAUUUUCUAAUUCCCUUGGUGAUUUCUCCUUGGAUCCAUUGGAUAUUGAGAAGUGUGUUGUUUAAUUUCCACAUUUUUUUUCUGUUAUUGAAUUCUAAUUUCAUUUCACUGUAAUAGGGAGAACAUACUUGGCAUGAUUUUCUUUUUCUCUUUUUUUUUUUGAGACGGAGUCUCGCUCUGUCACCCAGGCUGGAGUGCAGUGGCGCCAUCUCGGCUCACUGCAACCUCUGCCUCCCGGGUUCAUGCCAUUCUCCUGCCCCAGCCUCCCAAGUAGCUGGGACUACAGGUGCCCGCCACCAAGCCCGGCUAAUUUUUUGUAUUUUUAGUAGAGACAGGGUUUCACCAUGUUAGCCAGGAUGGUCUUGAUCUCCUGAUCUUGUGAUCCACCCGCCUCAGCCUCCCAAAGUGCUGGGAUUACAGGGAUGAACCUCCGCGCCCGGCCAAUUUUCUUUUUCUUUUUGAGGCAAGGUCUCACUUUGUCGUCCAGGCUGGAGUGCAGUGGUGGGGAUCUCGGCUCACUGCAACCUCUGCCUCCCAGGCUCAAGAGAUUCUCCCACCUCAGCCUCCCUAGUAGCUGGGACUACAGCCAUGUGCCACCACAGCUGGCUAACUGUUUGCUUUUUUUUUUCUUUUUUUUUUGAGACGCAGUCUCGCUCUGUUGCCCAGGCUGGAGUGCAGUGGCGUGAUCUUGGCUCACUGCAACCUCCGCCUCCCUGGUUCAAGCAAUUCUUCUGCCUCAGCCUGCCGAGUAGCUGGGACUACAGGCACGUACCACCACACCCGGCUAAUUUUUGUGUUUUUAGUAGAGACGGGGUUUCACUAUGUUGGCCAGGCUGGUCUCCAACUCCUGACCUCAUGAUCCGCCUGCCUCGGCCUUCCAAAGUGCUGGGAUUACAGGAAUGAGCCACCGCGUCCGGCCAACUGUUUGUAUUUUUAGCAGAGACAGGGUUUUGCCAUGUUGCCCAGGCUGCUGUCAAACUCCUGGGCCCAAGCAAUCUUCCCAUCUUGGCCUCCCAAAGUGCUGGGAUUAUAGGCACGAGCCACAUCAUUUCAAUCCUCUUACAUUUAUUGAGAUUCACUUUAUGGCCUAAUGUGUGUUCUGUUUAUCCUGGAGAAUGUUCCACGUAUACUGGAGAAGACUAUAUAGUCUGCUGUUGUUGAAUGUUCUAUCUGUGCCUGUCAGGUUUAGUUGGUUGAUAGCGUUGUUCCAGUCUUCCAUAACCAUGCUGAUUUUCUGUCUAGCUGUCCUAUCCAUUAUUGCAAGUGGAAGUACACACACUAGUGGAAUUACCCACAGUAGUGGAAUUACUAGGUCAUAUGGUAAUUCUAUGUCUUAGCUUUUUGAGGAACUGCCAAACUGUCUUCUGUAGCAGCUGCAUCAUUUUACGUUUCCAUCAGCAGUGCAAAAGGAUUCCAGUCUUGCCACAUCCUUGCCGGCGCUUGUUAUUUUCUGUUUUUUUAAAAAUAUGUCAUAGCUAUCCUAAUAAGGUGUGAAGUGGUAUCUCAUUGUCUUUUCAGUUUGAAUCUCCUUAAUGAUUAGUGAUGUUGAGCAUCUUUUUAUGUGCUUAUUGGCACUUGUCUAUUUUCUUUGGAGAAAUAUCUAUUCAAGUUCUUUGCCCAAUUUUCUUUCUUUAUUUCUUUCUUUCUUUUUUUUGAGACGGAGUUUCGCUCCUGUUGCCCAGGCUGGAGUGCAGUGGCAUGAUCUCAGCUUACUGCAACCUCCACCUCUAGGGUUCAAGCGAUUCUCCUAUCUUAGCUUCCCAAGUAGCUGGGAUUACAGGCUUGGGCCACCACGCCCGGCUAUUUUUGUAUUUUUAGUAGAGACGGGGUCGGCUAUUUUUGUAUUUUAGUAGAGACAGGGUUUCACCGCGUUGGCCAGGCUGGUCUCAAACUCGUGACCUCAAGCGAUCCAUCCGCCUUGGCCUCCCUAAGUGCUGGGAUUACAGGCGUGAGCCACCGUACCCAGCACCAGUUUUCAGUUGGUUUGUUUGUUGUUGAGUUGUAGGAAUUCUUUAUAUAUUUUGGAUUUGAUUUGUAAAUAUUCCCUCCCUUUCUGUGGGUUGUCUUUUUACUCUCUUGAUAGUUUCUUUUGAUGCACAAAGGUUGAAAAUUUGGUGGUCGGGCACAGUGUCUUACACCUGUAAUCCCAGCACUUUGGGAGGCCAAGGCAGGAGGACUGCUUGAGCCCAGGAGUUUGAGACCAGCCUGGGCAAAAUAGUGAGACCUUGUCUCUAUUUAAAAAAAAAAAAUUUUUUUUAAGUUUUAAAUUUUGAUGAAGUUCAACUUCUCUAUUUUUUCUUUUAUUGCCUUUUUAUGGCUUUUGGUGACACAUCCAAGAAAUCAUUGCCAAAGCCAAUGUGUUUUCUUCUAAGAGUCUUAUAAGUUUUACCUCUUAUAUUUAGGUCUUUGACUCAUUUGGAGUUAAUUUCUGUAUAUGGUGUGAGGGAAGGGUCAAAUGGCAUUUUUUUUUUUUUUUUUUUGCAUAUGGAUAUCCCACUUUUCUCAGCACCGUUUGUUGAAAAUGUUGCCUUUUCCCCAUUGAAUGGUCUAGGUCCUCAUGUCAAAAAGCAAUUGACUUUAAAUAUGAGGGUUUAUUUCUGUGUUCUUUCUUCUAUUCCAUUGGUCCACAUUUCUGUCCUUGCACCAGUUCUGCACCAUUUUGUCACCUUGAAUCACUUUGAAUAGACUCACUGCUCUUUAUUUUUUUUUUUUUAGACAGAGUCUCGCCCUGUCACCCAGGCUGGAGUGCAUUGGCACUAUCUCAGCUCACUGUAACCUCUGACUCCCAGGUUCAAGCCAUUCUGCUGCCUCAGCCUCCCAAGUAGCUGGGAUCCAGGUGCAUACCACCUCACCCAGCUAAUUUUUGUAUUUUUAAUAGUAACGGGGUUUCACCAUGUUGGCCAGGCUGGUCUCGAACUCCUGGCCUCUCGUGAUCCGCCUGCCUCGGCCUCCCAAAGUGCUGGGAUUACAGGUGUGAGCCACCACACUUGGCCUAAAUAGAUUAAUUCUCAAUUAUCCUGCUUCUCUGCCCCCAUGCCUUCCCUGCCCUCUCAGCUUCCCUCAAUCUGUCCUCUCCAAAAUGCAAUGGUACCUUUCCUACCCCUACUCCAAUGCCAAUCUUCUUCUCCCUCUAGCUUCCCCCAAACUCAAGGGCACGACUAUUCAUGUAGGAGUGCUCCUUGAUUUCUUUCUUUUUUUUUUUUUUUUUUGAGACAGUGUCUUACUCUGUCACCCAGGCUGGAGUGCAGUGGCACAAUCAGGGCUCACUGCAGCCUCGACCUCCCGAGCUCAAGCAAUCCUCCCACCUCACUCUCCCAAGUAGCUGGGACUACAGGUUCAUGCCACAAUGCCCUGCUAAUUUUUGUACUUUUUGUAGAGAUGAGGUCUUCUAUGUUUCCCAGGCUGGUCUCAAACUCCUGAGCUCAAGUGAUCCACCCACUUCGGCCUCCCAAAGUGCUGGGAUUACAGGCAUGAGCCAUCGCACUCGGCCUGAUUUCUCUCUUUCUCUUACCCCCAUACCCACUCCAUCAGCCACCUCAUAGGCUCCACUUCCAGGUAUAUUUGAAAUCCACCUGCUUCUCCCCUCCUCAGCUGCUACUCCCCUCAUUCAACCAUGGUCAUCUCUUUCCAGGAUUCCUGCACCACCUACAGAAAAUGGUGAGAUGAGCCAGACAGGUAGCUCAUGCCUGUAAUCCCAGCACUUUAGGAGGCUGAGGUGGGUGGAUCACUGGAGGUCAGGAGUUCGAGACCAGCCUGGCCAACAUGGUGAAACCCUGUCUCUAUUAAAAAUACAAAAAACUCGCCGGGCAUGCUGGUGGGCACCUGUAGUCCCAGCUACUGGGAGGCUGAGGCAGGAGAAUUGUUUGAACCUGGGAGGCAGAGGAUGCAGUGAGCCAAGAUCACACCACUGCACUCCAGCCAGGGUGACAGAGCAAGACUCUAGUUUCAAAAAAAAAAAAAGGGAAGAAAAAAAAUGGUGAAAUGAACCAUUUUCACUCUUGCCUCCUUCCACACAACAGCCAGAGUAAUCUUUUUUGUUUCUUUUUAAAUUAAUUAAUUUUUUUUUUGAGUCAAGGUCCUACUGUGUCUCACUCAGGCUAGAGGGCAGUGGCAUGAUCAUAGCUCACCGUAGCCUUGACCUCCUUGGCUCAAGCGAUCCUCCUGCCUCAGCCCCCUAAGUAGUUGGGACUACAGGCACACAUCACCAUGCAUGGCUAACAUAAAAAAUAUUUUUGUAAAGACAGUAUCUCACUAUGUUGCCAAGGCUGGUCUUGUACUCCUGGACUCAAGAGAUCCUCCUGCAUCAGCCUCCCAAAGCAAUGUGAUUACAGGCAUGAACCACUGUGCCUGGCCUGUUUCAAAAUAUAUAUAUAUUUGAGACAGGGUCUCUCUCUGUCACCCAGGCUGGAGUGUAGUGUUGUGAACAUAGCUCACUGUAGCCUCGAACUCCCAGGCUCAAGUGAUCCUCCCACCUCAGCUUCCCAAAGUGCUGGGAUUACAGACAUGAGCCACUGUGCCUAGCCUCUCCUAUACCUUUUAAAGCCUUUUGUUAUUUGUGUAACAUACUAUAAUCACUGUUAGGAACCUUGCCUCUCUCAAUAAAAUAUUUUAGGUAGCAUUCUGUAUGGAUACUAGCUUCCUUAGUUUGGGGUUUUUUUUUUUUUUUGGUUUUAUGACUGCAGAGGAUUACUUCAAAAGGACACACCAUAAUUUAUUGGCCAGGCAUGGUGGCUCAUGCCUGUAAUCCCAGCACUUUGGGAGGCUGAGGUGGGUGGAUUACCUGAGGUCAGGAGUUUGAGACCAGCCUGGCCAACGUGGUGAAACCCCGUCUCUACUAAAUACAAAAAAUUAGCAGGUCAUGGUGGCACACACCUGUAAUCCCAGCUAUUUGGGAGGCUGAGGCAGGAGAAUCGCUUGAAUCUGGGAGGCGGAGGUUGCAGUGAGCUGAGAUCCCACCACAGCAAUAUGUCUCAAAAAAAAAAAAAAAAAGGACGCGCCAUAAUUUAUUAAUCAUUCCCACAUUGAUCGACAUCUGGGUCAUCUCUAAUCAUUUAUUCUGGCAGUCAAUGCUGCAAUGAAUAACUUCUUAAACCACUUUGCACUUAAGCAAGGAUAUCUACAAGUUAGAAUCCUAGAAGUGAAAUUGAUCAAAUAUAUGUACAUUUGUCAUUUUGAUAGAUAUUGUCAGAUUCCCUUCUAUAGAAAUUGCACCCAGCUGGGUGCGGUGGCUCAUGACUGUAAUCCCAGCCUUUUGGGAGGCCAAGGCAGGUGGAUCACCUGAGGUCAGGAGUUCGAGACUAACCUGACCAAUAUGGUAAAAGCUCGUCUCCACUAAAAAUACAAAUAUUACCCAGGUGUGGUUGUGGGUGCCUGUGGUCCCAGCUACUUGGGCGGCUGAGACAGGAGAAUUGCUUGAACCCAGGAGGCAGAGGUUGCAGUGAGCCGAGAUCGCGCCACUGCACUCCAGCCUGGGUGACAGAGGGAGACUCCAUCUCAAAAAACAAACAAACAAAAAUUAGCCAGCCGUGCUGGCGUGCACCUAUAAUCCUAGCUACUCAGGAGGCUGAGGCAGGAGAAUCACUUGAACCUGGGAGAUGGAAGCUGCAGUGAGCCGAGAUUGCACCACUGCACUCCAGCCUGGGUGACAGAGCGAGAGUCGGUCUCAAAAAAAAAAAAAAAAAUUGCACCCAUUUUCGAUCUCAUCAGCAAUGUUUUUGAGUGCUUGUUUCCCAUUCCUUCGAAAAUAUAAAUGGGUCAUUAGUCAUUACCCUCCCAGCUUAACCUCUCUAAGCAACUUCCCACUGUCCUUGGAAACAGCAUCUACUUUCCUCGCCAUGGCCUCCAAGGGCUUGCCUACACUAUUUGACUCCUGCCUGUCUCGCUUCCCAUGCCCUGCUGAAGGCAAGUGUUGGACACAUCUAAGGGAUGCCAGCCAGCAGGGUUGGGAGGGAGUUGGCAUUUCUUCCCAAGGGGAUGUGUGCUUGGGCAGUGGACCUGCAGACUGUGCCCAUCCUAUGAAUGUGGGGAAAGAGAGCAUGGCACAUGAAUGCUAGGGAAGGCAGGCUGCAGUUUCAUAACUUUGGGGGAUUGCCCGAAGGUACGAUGGACCUGGGGAAAUUGGGGCAUUGGGGUGCCUGUUUAAAGCCAUCGUCUGUAAGUGAGCCAUGUCACAGGCCAGCCAGCAGAGGACAGUAUUCUGCUUUGGGAUGAGGCCAUUUCUCCAUCAGACCAGAGGAAGCCAAACCCAGCUGUCCAUCUACCACGGGGCAGUGAGGACCCGGCGUGGGGGCUGCAGAGCAGUUAAAUGAGCCGGAGUCCGCAGCUGGCAACCAACCCCUGCGUUCUACCGAUGACAGCCUCCUGUUGAACAAGGAGCCGCACUGCUCCCUGGGGCACGGGCCUGAGAAGCUGGGACCACCCGGGGUUGGGGGCUGGAGGGACCUGAUGUCCUGCUCCCCUGGGAUGCCCAGGUGGUGGAUGAGGUCCAGGUCCCACCCAACCCUCAACCAUUCCAUCCCUGCAGUCAUUCCGUGCCUUCCCAAGGUGUCUGCAGAUGUGCAGUGGAGGUUGGGGGUCAAUCCAGGAACCACCCGAGAACUGGCUAAGUGGGAUGCCUGGCACUGGUCCCAGAGCUGUCUCAGCUGUGCAAAGUGAGAUAUCACCUUCUAAACCCUACGAUGCACCUGUAAAGGGAAAAUGUGAAAUCUCAGAACCCCCGAAACUUAUGCCACAGGGAAAGCUAAGCUUAAAGGCUGAGUCACGCAACACACUCUCUCUCUGUCUGUCUGUCUAUCUGUCUGUCUGUCUCUCUCUCUCUCUCUCUCUCUCUGUGUGUGUGUGUAUGUUAGACAGGGUCUUGCUCUGUCACCCAGGCUGGAGUGCAGUGACGCAAUCAUGGCUCACUGUUGCAGCCUGGACCUCCUGGGCUCAAACAAUCCUCCCUCCUCAACCUCCCAAAGUGCUGGGAUUACAGGCAUGAGCCACUGCACCCAGCCGGGAAGAAGUAUUGAUACAAGCAACAACAUGAUGAAUGUCAGAUCAUCUGGCUGAGUGAACGAAACUAGGCCAAAACCACAAGUGCAUAUUAUACGAUUCCAUUCAUAUAACAUUUUAGAAAAUCUAAACGAAUCUACAGUGACACAAAGCAGCCAUUGGUUGCCUGGGGAUAAAGAAGGCAGGGAUUAUAGAGUAGAAGGGAUUAUAGAGGGGUGAGAUAUAAUUUUUGGGGGUGGUGGGUAUGUCAUUAUCUAAAUUGUGGUGAUAGUUUCAUGGGUGUGUGUAUAUAUAUAUGUAUGUAUAUGUAUAUAUAUGUGUAUAUAUGUAUGUAUAUGUAUAUAUGUGUAUAUAUAUGUGUGUAUAUAUAUAUGUCAAAAUGUAUCAAAAUCUAUACUGUAAUUAUAUGUAGUUUAUUGUAAGUAAAUCAAACCUUUUUGGUUUUUUCAAGAUGGAGUUUCAUUCUGUUGCCCAGGCUGGAGUGCAGUGGCACAAUCUUGGCUCACUGCAACCUCCACCUUCUGGGUUCAAGCGAUUCUCUUGCCUCAGCCUCCCGAGUAGCUGGGACCACAGGUGCCUGCCACCACACCUGGCUAAUUUUUGUAUUUUUAGUAGAGACGAGGUUUUGGCAUGUUGACCAGGCUGGUCUUGAAUUCCUGACCUCAAGCAGUCCUCCUGCCUUGGCCUCCCAAAGCGCUGGGAUUACAGGAGUGAGCCACCACACCCGGCCUCAGUAAAUAAAAUUUUAAUAAAACUUUUUUUUUUAAUGCCAAUAUAGUCAUGUCUGUAAUCCCAGUGCUUUGGAAGGCCAAGGCAGGAGGAUUGCUUGAGGCCAGGAGUUCGAGACCAGCCUGGGCAAUAUAGCUAGAACUUCUGUUUACCAAAAAAAUGCUGAUGUGUCAAAAAUAAAUAUUUUUCAUCACUGGCUCAAAUUUUAAUAUCUUCCUUUGCCAUGUAUACUGCAUGAGGUGGGGAAUGGGGGAAUGGAAUAAUUUGGGAAAGUAAAGAUGAUCAAGGCUCAGUGUUAAUUCUACAAUAUAUUGCUUUCAUUGCCUUAACCAUGCAUGCUUAUUACAGCAAAGUCAGAACAAGGUUGAGACGGGGUCUCGCCGUGUCGCCCAGGCUGGAGUGCAAUGGCGUGAUCUCGGCUCACUGCAGCCUCUGCCUCCCAGGUUCAAGCAAUUCUCCUACCUCAGCCUCCUGAGUAGCUGGGAUUACAGGCGCGUGCUACCACGUCCGCCUAACUUUUUGUAUCUUUAGUAGAGACGGGGUUUCACCAUGUUGGCCAGGCUGGUCUCGAAGUCCUGACCUCGUGAUCCACCUGCCUCGGCCUCCCGAAAUGCUGGGAUGACAGGCGUGAGCCACAAUGCCCAGCCUAUAACAUUUUUAUAAAUGUUUUUGAGUGAAUGGAGAAAUUAAUUACUCUGUUCUGUGAUGCUUGGUGUUUGUCAGCUUUAAAUCCCCCAUAGCACUCAGAUCUUAGAGACAGAACUUUGGUCUUUAUGGGUGAAUUACAACCAAUUCCAUUUACAUUACUUUCAUUUCUCUAUAUGCUAAAGUUACCUUUUUUUUUUUCUUCAGUCUAUUGCCCAAGCUGGAGUGAGGUGGUGCGAUAUCAGCUCAUUGCAGCCUCCAACUUUUGGGCUCAAGCAAUCCUCCCACCAGCCUCCCGAGUAGCCAGGACUACAGGCAUGCGCUACCAUGCCAGGCUUAUUUUUAAAAUUUUUUGUAGAGAUGGAGUCUCACUAUGUUGCCCAGAUUGGUCUCAAACGCUUGGCCUCAAGCGAUCCUGCCUCAGCCUCCUAAAGCACUGGGAUUACAGACGUGAGCUACUUAUUGAUAAAUUUCUGGAUUAUAGAAGGUCAUAUAGGUUUAAAUUGAUAAAUUGAAACCAGCAGAUUUCUGGCAUUUAGAAUGCUUCCUCAACACCUUUCCAAGAAGGCUGGCUGUGGCCAGGCAUGGUGACUCAAACCUAUAAUCCCAACACUUUGGGAGGCCAAGGCGGGUGGAUCACCUGAGGUCAGGAGUUUGAGAUCAGCCUGACCAACAUGGUGAAACCCUGUCUCUACUAAAAAUACAAAAACAUUAGCCAGGCGUGGUGACGGGUGCCUAUAAUCCCAGCUACUCAGGAGGCUGAGGCAGAAGCAUCGCUUGAACCUUGUAGGUGGAGGGUACAGUGAGCCAAGAUCACGCCACUGCACUCCAGCCGGGGGGAUAAAGUAAGACUCCAUCUCAAAAAUAAAAAUAAAAAUAAAAUAAAUAGAAACCAGCACAUUUCUAGUAUUUAGAAUGUUUCCUCAACAUCUUUCCAAGAAGGCUGGCUGCCUUGCAGGAAUUUCAGCACACGUGCCCACAAAUACAGGACCAAUGCCUUUGCCGCCUGGGUUAUACUCUACACUUGAGCUGCUCUUGUUUUUAUAUUAUAGACUGCUGUUCAUUUAGCUUCGUCAUGAUUGAUUCGUUUGUGGUGGGUUGCUUGUCCUGCUGUAGAAUGUGUAGUAAGAUCUAUUUGCUUCAAAAGUGGUUUGGAGCCAGGUACGGUGACUCACACCUAUAACCACAACACUUUGGGAGGCUGAGGCAAGAGGAUGGCUUGAGCCCAGGAGUCUGAGACCAGAUUGGCGAAACCCCAUCUCUACAAAAAAAAAAAAUUAAAAAAAUUAGCUGUGCAUGGUGACAUGUGCUUGUAGUACCAGCCACUUGGGAGGCCGAGGCAAGAGGAACACUUGAGCCCAGGAGGUGGAGGUUGCAGUGAGCUAUGAUCAUGCCACUGCACUCCAGCCUGGGCAACAGAGUAAGACCCUGUUUCAAAACAAAAAAAUAGUUUUAGUCUAUAACAUUCCAGGAAGUAAACUUGAAGCCAUGUCACAAUUCAAAUAUGAACUGCCUAUACUCCUAUGGAUCACUUGAGGUCAGGAGUUCAAGACGAGCCUGGCCAACAUGGCAAAACCCCGUCUCUACUAAAAAUACAAAAAUUAGCCGGUGUCGUGGCAUUCACCUGUAAUUCCAGCUACUCAGGAGGCUGAGGCAGGAGAAUCUCUUGAACCCGGGAGGCGGAGGUUACAGUGAGCCUAGAUCGCACCACUGCACUCCAGCCUGGGGGACAGAGAGAGACUCUCUCGAUUAAAAAAAAAAAAAAGAUAUAUCACAGCCCCACCCUCCCACCCACAGUUUUUCCCUUGUGCAGUGACUCAAUUGCAAAUGCCAAGUUCCUCCUCUUCCUCCCCAAGUUACAAAGUGAAAACAUAUAGCGUAGGCAGGUUGCGGGGGGCCUAUCAAUCCACAAAGUUUAGGAGCCCCUGGUGUAGCAAGAAGAACCACGAACCUACCGUCAGGUGAGCUGAUGUGGAUUCUGCUGCUCUAUGGCUGUGUGAGCUUGCCAAGUCACUUUACCUCUCUGAGCCUUUAGAUUCUUCUAAAAAUGGAGCUGUUAUAUCCAAUUUCCAGAUUUGUUGUAAAAAUUAAACAUGGGUUAGGCGUGGUGACUCAUGCCUGUAAUCCCAGCAGUUUGGGAGGCUGAGGUGGGAGGAUGGCUUGAGCCCAGAAGUUUGAGACCAGCGUGGGCAACAUAGUGAGACCGCUUCUCUAGGAAAAAAUAAAAAAAAAAAAAAAUAGCUGGGUGUGAUGGCACAUGACUGCGGUCCCAGCACCUUGGGAGGCUGAGGUGUGUGCAUCACCUGAGGUCAGGAGUUGGAGACCAGCCUGGCCAACCUGGUGAAACCCCGUCUCUACUAAAAAUACAUGGCCGGGCGCGGUGGCUCACGCCUGUAAUCCCAGCACUUUGGGAGGCCGAGGCGGGCAGAUCACGAGGUCAGGAGAUCGAGACCAUCCUGGCUAACAUGGUGAAACCCCAUCUCUACUAAAAAUACAAAAAAAAAAAUUAGCUGGGCGUUGUAGGGGGCAUCUGUAGUCCUAGCUGCUCAGGAGGCUGAGGCAGGAGAAUGGCGUGAACCCGGGAGUCGGAGGUUGCAGUGAGCCGAGAUCGUGCCACUGCACUCCACCCUGGGCGACUGAGCAAGACUCCGUCUCAAAAAAAAAAUAAAAAUAAAAAUAAAAAUAAUAAAAGAAUAAAAUAAAUUUUAAAAAAUUAAAAUUAAAAAAAUAUACAAAAAAUUAGCCAAGCAUGGUGGUGCACGCCUGUAAUCCCAGCUACUUGGGAGGCUGAGGCACGUGAAUCGCUUGAACCCGGGAAGCAGAGGUUGCAGUGAGCCGAGAUCUCGCCACGGUACUACAGCCUGGGCAACAAGAGUGAAACUGUCUCAAAAAAAAAAAAAAAAAAAGUGGUAAGUGGUGCUUUUGGAAAGUGCUUUGUAAACUACAGAGUCCUCUACAAAGACUCUUCUGUUGUCCUCCUUUUGUAAACCCAAAGUGCUCAGCACAAGGCCUGGCACACAGGAGGCACUAAAUAAAUACUUACCAAAUUAAUAAAUCAGUGGCCAGGUGUGGUAGCUCACGCCUGUAAUCCCAGCACUUUGGGAGGCCGAGGCGAGCAGAUCCCUUAAGGUCAGGAGCUUGAGACCCGCCUGGCCAACAUGGUGAACACCCCAUAUCUAUUAAAAAUACAAAAAUUAGCUGAGCCUGGUGGUGCAUGCCUGUAACUCCAGCUACUCAGAAAGCUGAGGCAGGAGAAUCGCUUGAACCCGGGAGGCGGAGGUUGCAGCGAGCCAAGAUCACACCACUGCGCUCCAGCCUGGGCGACGUGCAAGACUCUGUCUCCAAAAAAAAAAAAAUAGGAAGAAAGUUAUCUCUUAAGUCAAGUGUGUCUCCGCAUCAUUUCUAGCCUUCUGCCUUAGCUCUCCCCUCUGCAGUGACACAGAAUCAAUCAUCUUCCUCUCCUCCCAGUAAGCCCUUCAGAUAGUUCAGCCAGUGGCCAUGACCCCUGAAGCUUCUCCAGGGAGGCCUCCUGGUCCCUGCAACUGUUCCUCAUCAGACAUCUUUGGAAGGUUCCCCUCUGUCCCAGUCCUGGUCACUUUUUAUUGCACAAGUUCCGAUUUGCCUACAUCUUUUUUCAGAGUAUAUGUCUAGAAGAAGAACCGGAACUCUUAGGGUGACCUGACAGGCACAGAGAGGAAGGGACCACCCCAUCUCUUCCUUUUUCCAAGCCCCAGACCUCAGUGACAACAGCUCAGGAUCCCAAGUUCUCAAGAUGCUAUUUUUAGCCCACUCCUGAUUCAUAUUCUGCUUCCUGCUGGGUAAAACCUUAAUUAUUCUUUUGGCUGGGCUCGGUGGCUCACACCUAUAAUCCCAGCAGUUUGGGAAGCUGGGGCGGGUGGAUCACUUGAGGUCAGGAGUUCAAGACCAGCCUGGCCAGCAUGGCAAAACCCCGUCUCUACUAAAAAUACAAAAAAUUAGGCAGGCGUGGCGGCACGUGCUUGUAGCCCCAGCUACUCGGGAGGCUGAGACAGGAGAAUCACUUGAACCCGAGAGGCAGAGGUUGCAGUGAGCCGAGAUCACGCCAUUGCACUCCAGCCUGGGCACAGAGGAAGACUCCGUCUCCAAAAAAAAAAAAACUUUAUUUUUCAUGCCCACUGCUGCGUCAUGAGCGAUGUUAACUUAAUCUUUAACUGAACUUUAGCAAUUUUAUCAGUUAUGGAUAUAGGCAAUGAAACACAGUCUUAUUACCAGUACCAGUAACUUUGUCACCAGUAGAAGUCACAGGUAUGUUCAUACCAUGUUCCACUUAUAGAAAACUCAAAAAAAAUCAUUUAUGCUUCAAAAUUAUGGUAGCUAUCAGGCCUGCUGUUAGAUCUUGUUAUUUAAUGCAUCCAUAAAGCAGCACAUAGAGUAUGGUUUUUGUUUUUGUUUUUUUUUGAGAUAGAGGUUUGCUCUUGUUGCCCAGGCUGGAGUGCAAUGGUGCAAUCUUGGCUCACCGCAACCUCCACCUCCUGGGUUCAAGUGAUUCUCCUGCCUCAGCCUCCCAAGUAGCUGGGAUUACAGUUGCCCACCACCACACCCAGCUAAUUUUUUUGUAUUUUUAGUAGAGACAGGAGUUUCUUCAUGUUGGUCAGACUGGUCUUGAACUCCCAACCUCAGGUGAUCCACCUGCCUCAGCCUCCCAAAGUGCUGGGAUUACAGGCACGAUUUUGUUUUUAUUAAUAUUUUGAUAACUACAGGCUUCCUUGGUAAUUCAGUGUAUUUUAUUUUAUCCAUUUAAAAAGCAACAUUCUUGGCCAGGUGUGGUGGCUCACUCCUUUAAUUCCAACACUUUGAGAGACCCAGGCAAGAGGAUUGCUUGAGGCCAGGAGUUGGAGACCAGACUAGACAACAUAGUGAGCCCCUGUCUCUACAAAAAAAAAAAAAAAAAAUACAAAAAUUAGCCAGGUGUGGUGGCACGUGUCUGUAGUCCUAGGUACUCGGGAUGCUGAAGCAGGAGGAUCGCCUGAGCCCAGGAGUUGGAGGCUGCAGUGAGCUAUGAUUGUACCAGUGCACUCCAGCCUGGGCAACAGAAUGAGACCCUGUCUCAAAAAAAAAAAAAAAAAAAAAAAAGCAUCAUUUACAUGAGGAGUCCCUAGGUUUCAUCAGAUAUGUCAGAUAUGACAAAAAGGAGUAAGAACUUCGGCCAAAAGCCAAAAAAUUCAAAGAGCCUGCCUGCCUGCCUCCCUUCCUUCCAGACAUUUCCUGAAGGCCUACUCUGUGCAGGACUCUACAUGGUGCUGUCCCUCAAGAAGCUCACAGUCUGGGAAGAGAGACAGACACAACAAACAGGAUUUUUUUAAAAAUAUUUUUUUAAAUAUAAUAGAAAUGGGGGUCUCACUAUGUUGUCCAAAGGCUAGUCUCUAACUUGUGGGCUCAAGCAAUCCUCCUGCUUUGGCCUCCCAAAGUGCUGGGAUGACAGGUGUGAGCCACUGCACCCAGCCUUUCUUUUUUGUUUGUUUGUUUGUUUGUUUGUUUGUUUGUACAGACAGGGGUCUCACUAUGUUGCCCAGGCUGGUCUCAAACUCUUGGGCUCAAGUGAUCCUCCUGCCUGGGCCUCCCAAAGUGCUGGGAUGACAGGCGUGAGCUGCUGUGACUGGCCAAAAACCAGGAAGUAAAUACCGUGUUAUACUUGCCAUGGUAGAGAUGUGUGUAGUGGUAGAAAUAGAACAACCUGGCUGGGCACAGGGGCUCACGCCUGUAAUCCCAGCACUUUGGAAGGCCAAGGCAGGUGGAUCAUGAGGUCAGGAGAUCGAGACCAUCCUGGCUAACAUGGUGAAACCCCGUCUUUACUGAAAAUACAAAAAAAUUAGCCAGACGUGGUGGCGGGCGCCUGUAGUCCCAGCUACUCGGGAGGCUGAGGCAGGAGAAUGGCGUGAACUCGGAAGGUAGAGUUUGUAGUGAGCCAAGGUCGCACCACUGCACUCCAGCCUGGGCGACAGAGCGAGACUCCGUCUCAAAAAAAAAAAAGAAAUAGAACAACUUGGCCAGGUGCAGUGGCGCACGCCUAUAAUCCCAGCACUUUGGGAGGCCAAGGCAGAUGGAUCACUUGAGGCCAGGAGUUUGAGAGCAGCCUGGCCAACAUGGCGAAACCCUGUCUCUACUAAAAAUACAAAAAUUAGCAGGGCGUGGUGGCAUGUGCCUGUAAUCCCAGCUACUGGGGAGGCUAAGGCAGGAGAAUCACUUGAACCUGGGAGGUGGAGGUUGCAGUGAGCCAAGAUCACGCCACUGCACUCCAGCCUGGGCGACAGAGUAAGACUCUGUCUCAAAAAAAUAAAAAGAAAUAGAACAACUUUAGAGAUCUAAUGACCCAAGUUCAAAUCCUAGCUCUUCCACUAACUCACAGUGUGACCUCCUCACAUCCUAUUCGUCCCUCGGUCAAUCUUAUCUGUUUUCUUCAUCAAAACCCUGCAAGAUAAGACUUAGUUCCCAUUUUAUAGAUGAGGAAACUGAGGCUCCCUUACCCAAGAUCACUCAGGCAGCGAGUGAAAGAGCCAGGGUGAGGUCCUGCUUCCUCCUGACUUCCAGCCUGAGCUCCACCAGCUCCACACUGGCUGCUUCUCAAAUGCUAAUGUAGGAGCCAUUAAUGUCUCCUUUAAGGGAACAUUAAAGGAAAUGGCCAGUAUAACAUGGUAUUUAUCUCCUGGUUUUUGGCUUGGCUCAUGCCUGGAAUCCCAACACUUUGGGAGGCCCAGGCACGAGGAUCACUUGAGCCCAAGAGUUUGAGACCAGCCUGGGCAACAUAGUGAGACCUCUGUCUGUACAAACAACAACAACAAAAAGGCCCAGUGGGCUGGGCGUGGUGGCUCAAGCCUGUAAUCCCAGCAUUUUGGGAGGCUGAGAUCUCAGGCGGAUCACCUGAGAUCGGGAGUUCGAGACCAGCCUGACCAUCAUGGUGAAACCCCGUUUCUGCUAAAAAUGCAAAAUUAACCGGGCAUGCUAGCGCAUGCCUGUAAUCCUAGCUACUCGGGACGCUGAGUCAGGAGAAUCGCUUGAACCGGGGAGGCGGAGGUUGCGGUGAGCCAAGAUCACACCAUUGCACUCCAACCUGGGGAACAAAAGCGAAACUCAGUCUCAAAAAAAAAAAAAAAAAGUGCAGUGUCUCACACCUGCAAUCCUAGGUUUCCCUUAAGGGAAACGUGAAUAUCUCCUGCAACUGCCCUCUCCGAGCCUAAACCCUCUGCACAGCAAAUGCAGAAAACUCUUUCUACAGAGAGCUAGGUGGGCUGACUGGCCAUGCCAUCCUAGACUGGUGUACCUCAGGUCUCCUCUUCAAAAAAUAUCUUGAAAUUCUUGCCAGAAAUUCAGUGUGAAAUGCAUUCGGGAUGGUGGCUGUUGUUAUAACAGUCCCCAGGGGUCUCAAUUACGUGAGAACCCUCGGCUUCUGGACAAGAGACAAGGAAGGGAAGUAGGUCACAUCCCAAAGGCAUCAGGGCUAAUAACUUUGCAUUGAACAUUUUCUGUGGCCCCACUGUGUGCUAGGUGCCAGGGCUGUGGAUACAGACACAGGUAUAAAUCAGACAUGGCUUCUGCCCUUGGUAAGCUCACAAUUACGGGCACAAAUAUGCAAUGAUAGUAUAAUAUGGGAAGUGCCUCAGGAGGCUGAGGCAGCGAACUGCUUGAACCAGGGAGGAGGAGGUUACAGUGAACAGACAUUACAGCACUGCACUCCAGCCUGGGUGACAGAGCAAGACUUCGUCUCAAAAAAAAAAAAAAAAAAUUCCUGGAAGACUUGUUGCCUAAUUUUAAGUUACUUAACUUCUCUGUAUCUCCAUUGCUUCAUCUGUAAAACGGGCGUAAUUACAGAACCAGCCUCACAAGGGUUGUGAAAAUGUAAUGAGUAACUACAUAAAAAGCACACAACAGGCUAGGCAUGGUGGCUCACACCUGUCAUCCCAGCACUUUGGGAGGCCAAGGCGGGACGAUUGCCUAAGCCCAGGAGUUCAAGACCAGCCUGGGCAACAGAGCAAGAUCCCAUCUCUACAAAAAAGAAGCAGCUAGCUAGGUGCGGUAGCACGCACCUGUGGUUCCAGCUACUUGGGAGGCUGAGGCAGGAGGAUACCAUGAGCCCGGGAGGUCAAGGCUGCAGUGAGCUAUGAUUGUGCUACUGAAGCAGGACACACAAGCCCCAAAAUUUAGCCUCCUUCCUUCAGAGCCAGCAGGAGCUUCUAAGCUAUGGGGGGCAGCAGUUACAGCUGAGUCAAACCAAAGCCUGCAGCCAAGGGCAAGGAGCUGAUAACACUAGGGUGGGUGUGUGGGGAAGGAGCCAAAUACUUCUACCAUGUGAGGGGAGGGAGUACUGGGCAGGGUCACUGGAGAAAGCGAAAAAGGUAGUACCCUUGAAGGUACUGCUGGGCACAGUGGCUCAUGUCUGUAAUUCCAGGACUUUGAGAGGUCAAGGCAGGCUUAUCACCUGAGGUCAGGAGUUCGAGACCAGCCUGGCCAAUGUGGUGAAAUCCCAUAUCUACUAAAAAUGCAAAAAUUAGCUGGGCGUGGUGAUGCACACCUGUAGUCCCAGCUACUUGGGACUCGGGAGGCUGAGGCACAAGAAUCACUUGCAUCUGGGUGGCAGAGGUGGCAGUGAGCAGAGAUCACGCCACUGCACUCCAGCCUGGGUGACAGAGUGAGACUCUUGUCAAAAAAAAAGGAAGGUCUACCUUAAACAGCUGUUCUCCAGCAAAAGCACUUUUCAAACUGUAAAGUGCUGAAAUAGAUCUCGGUUAUGAGUGUUCUAUUACAUCCCUAACUUUUGAGUCCCUUCCAUUGAAUCCCUCUCCCGUUUCCUGUCCCUUUUCCUUUUUUUUUUUUCCGAGAUACAGUCUUGCUCUGUCACCCAGGCUGGAGCGCAGUGGUGCGAUCUCGGCUUGCUGCAACCUCCGCCUCCUGGGUUCAAGCGAUUCUCCUGCCUCAGCCUCCGGAGUAGCUGGGAUUACAGGCACGCGCCACCAUGCCGGGUUAAUUUUUGUAGUUUUAUUAGAGACGGGGUUUCACCAUGUUGGCCAGGCUGGUCUCUAAUUCUUGACCUCGUGAUCCGCCCGCCUCGGCCUCCCAAAGUGCUGGGAUUGCAGGCGUGAGCCACCGUGCCCAGCCUCCUGCCCCUUUUCUUCAAUAUGAAGAUAAAGCUGCCCCUGGCUGUACUGGAGGCCAAUUCCGGGCCAUAGCAGGAGGAACUGAGUUCUAAUUCUGUCUUUGCCAUGUAACUGAAUUACCCAGGGCCCUCCCUAGUCCUGUUUCCUCUUUGGUGUAAUAGGGAUGAAUACAGAUGGGAAGAUCGUGAUAUGAAAGAGUUCUGUGAGCUGUAAGGCAUAAUAAUCAUGAGGUAUUAUUACAGGACCAACAGGUGCCUAGGCCCGCUGUGCAAUAACAGACCAGUUACACUGAGGAAGCAGGGUUAUCAGCAGAAAAAGGGUUUAAAGAUGGCAGGGUGCCUAGGAGGAGACGCAGGGAGACCAACAAAUCCAUCUUCCCCAAGGAGUUCCGGGCUGGGAUUUUAAAGGGCAUUGUGAAGGGUGAGGGGCUGGAAAAUUGGGGUCAUCGACUGGUCAGGGUAAGGGGGUUGAAAUCCUCAGGAUAUGGAAACUGCAGUCCCCAUUGAGUCUUGCUUCUGUGGGCUCCUUCAGAACAACUGGUGUCAGUAAUUAUGCUGGUAUGCGGGACCUGAAAGAAUAUCUCCAAGGGAAAACGUUUCAUAAUGUUCAAGUUGUUAUCUAUGGAGUUAAGGGGAAUUGUAAUCUUGUGACAGGGUCUACGUGAUUCUAGGACAGACGAUGGGCACCUAUCAUAGCUGAUACACAGAGCUAUGAGCAAGCAGGUCGGAGAGCAAGGUGACCUAGUGAUGAACGCAGAGUGUGCUGCAAGCUUCGUUUAUUUUCGUUUUUCCCCCUCCCUUCUUCCCUGAUUAAUUUCCUAAAGUUUAUAGGAGCAGUUUCAGUACCAGCCCGAGUAGGAUGGAAUCAAACACGGUGCUGGAACAUUCCUACCCGGAAGUGGCCCCGACCCCCCUCCCCCCGUCCCGGCCUCCCACGCACGGGGGGGGGGGGGGG